GACGUAGGGCGCAAGCGUUGUCCGGAUUUAUUGGGCGUAAAGAGCUCGUAGGUGGUUUGUUACGUCUGCUGUGAAAUCCUAGGGCUUAACCCUGGGCUUGCAGUGGAUACGGGCAGACUAGAGGUAGGUAGGGGAGAAUGGAAUUCCUGGUGUAGCGGUGAAAUGCGCAGAUAUCAGGAGGAACACCGGUGGCGAAGGCGGUUCUCUGGGCCUUACCUGACACUGAGGAGCGAAAGCGUGGGGAGCGAACAGG
RNAcentral lists this ribosomal RNA (253 nucleotides) under uncultured bacterium. RNAcentral describes it as "partial 16S ribosomal RNA". It matches the Rfam family "Bacterial small subunit ribosomal RNA", at positions 524 to 776 of the family's 1533-position model. The record is from RNAcentral.